AGUGAACGCUGGCGGCAGGCCUAACACAUGCAAGUCGAGCGGCAGCGCGUCCGACCACCCUCGGGUGGUCGGAUGGCGGCGAGCGGCGGACGGGUGAGGAAUGCAUCGGAAUCUGCCUCGUUGUGGGGGAUAACGUAGGGAAACUUACGCUAAUACCGCAUACGACCUACGGGUGAAAGUGGGGGACCUUCGGGCCUCACGCGAUGAGAUGAGCCGAUGCCGGAUUAGCUAGUUGGCGGGGUAAAGGGCCCACCAAGGCGACGAUCCGUAGCUAGUCUGAGAGGAUGAUCAGCCACACUGGAACUGAGACACGGUCCAGACUCCUACGGGAGGCAGCAGUGGGGAAGUAUUGGACAAUGGGGGCGAACCCUGAUCCAGCCAUGCCGCGUGUGUGAAGAAGGCC
Molecule: ribosomal RNA, 403 nt
Filed under: uncultured bacterium
Lineage: Bacteria
Description: bacterial SSU rRNA
Rfam family: Bacterial small subunit ribosomal RNA
Source: RNAcentral